UAUGGAAAAAGUAUUUGAAUGAACAAGGUACAUGUUAAGACGUCAAGCCGGGUCUUUUCUUUUAUACACCUGCACAAUAACAAAGGGAAAAAAACUUUUUUUUUUGUAACACACAAAGGGAAAUAAACUAUUUUGUCGAUUUUUGGCUUAUGUGACAUGCCAGCCCAUUCCCACCUAUUUCUACGAGGGAUGCAAGUGCAUCAUUGUCGUUCCUCUCUUUUCUUAUUGUUGUUAAUUUUUGUAAUACUAAACAAAUAUAAUACGAUCUGACCCUC
Molecule: long non-coding RNA, 275 nt
Filed under: Brassica napus (rape)
Lineage: Eukaryota; Viridiplantae; Streptophyta; Magnoliopsida; Brassicales; Brassicaceae
Description: long non-coding RNA (BNAP_LNC002309)
Source: RNAcentral